This is an unclassified non-coding RNA of Cavia porcellus (domestic guinea pig), 334 nucleotides long. Its record names the gene 7SK. It matches the Rfam family "7SK RNA". From Rfam's summary of the family: 7SK was discovered as an abundant small nuclear RNA in the mid-70s but a possible function has only recently been suggested. NCBI's taxonomy places the organism in Eukaryota, Metazoa, Chordata, Mammalia, Rodentia, Caviidae. The record is from Ensembl.
GAACGUUAGGACAAUCUGAUUGGGAUAUCUCACCCUACUGAUCACCAGGGCUGAUUUGGCUGAUUUAGCUCAUCUGGCUGACUAGGUAAGGGUCCCUUUUCUCCCUCACUAUUCCAUGUGCAUUUAUCCUGAAAUGGCACACUGAGUAGAAGAUCAAACACCCCUGAUAGAGGACCAUUCCUCGAUCAAGGGCAUUUGAGUAGCUGUGCUCCCCUGCUAGAACCUCCAAGCAAGCUCUCAACACUGUCUCAUACUAAAUCAAUAAACUGCCGAGUGUUAAGGUUUUUAAUUUAGAUGUCCCCCUAAAGCUUCCUGUGCUCACAGAUUGGUACUU